Molecule: ribosomal RNA, 390 nt
Filed under: uncultured bacterium
Lineage: Bacteria
Description: bacterial SSU rRNA
Rfam family: Bacterial small subunit ribosomal RNA
Source: RNAcentral
GACGAACGCUGGCGGCGUGCUUAACACAUGCAAGUCGAGCGGUAAGGCCCUUUCGGGGGUACACGAGCGGCGAACGGGUGAGUAACACGUGGGUGACCUGCCCUCAGCUCUGGGAUAAGCCCGGGAAACUGGGUCUAAUACCGGAUAUGACUCCAUGACGCAUGUUGUGGGGUGGAAAGCCUUGUGCGGCUGAGGAUGGGCCCGCGGCCUAUCAGCUUGUUGGUGGGGUGAUGGCCACCAAGGCGACGACGGGUAGCCGGCCUGAGAGGGCGACCGGCCACACUGGGACUGAGACACGGCCCAGACUCCUACGGGAGGCAGCAGUGGGGAAUCUUGCGCAAUGGGCGAAAGCCUGACGCAGCGACGCCGCGUGAGGGAUGACGGCCUCGG